RNAcentral lists this ribosomal RNA (460 nucleotides) under uncultured bacterium. RNAcentral's name for it is "partial 16S ribosomal RNA". It matches the Rfam family "Bacterial small subunit ribosomal RNA", at positions 338 to 795 of the family's 1533-position model. The record is from RNAcentral.
CCUACGGGAGGCAGCAGUGAGGAAUAUUGGUCAAUGGACGAGAGUUUGAACCAGCCAAGUAGCGUGAAGGAUGACUGCCUUAUGGGUUGUAAACUUCUUUUAUAUGGGAAUAAAACGUUCCACGUGUGGGAUUUUGUAUGUACCAUAUGAUUAAGGAUCGGCUAACUCCGUGCUAGCAGCCGCGGUAAUAAGGAGGAUCAGAGCGUUAUCCGGAUUUUAUGGGUUUACAGGGAGCGUAGGUGGGUUGUUAAGUCAGUUGUGAAAGUUUGCGGCUCAACCGUAAAAUUGCAGUUGACACUGGCAGUCUUGAGUAAAGUAGAGGUGGGCGGAAUUCGUGGUGUAGCGGUGAAAUGCUUAGAUAUCACGAAGAACUCCGAAUGCGAAGGCAGUUCACUGGACUGCAACUGACACUGAGGCUCGAAAGUGUGGGUAUCAAACAGGAUUAGAUACCCUUGUAGUC